This 72-nucleotide transfer RNA is filed under the name Ovis aries (sheep). It matches the Rfam family "tRNA". From Rfam's summary of the family: Transfer RNA (tRNA) molecules are approximately 80 nucleotides in length. Their secondary structure includes four short double-helical elements and three loops (D, anti-codon, and T loops). The record is from Rfam by way of RNAcentral. Lineage: Eukaryota; Metazoa; Chordata; Mammalia; Artiodactyla; Bovidae.
UCCCUAGUAGCCCAGACGGUACAGCAUCUGCCUGCAAUGCAGGAGACCCAGGUUUGAUCCCUGGGUUGGGAA